RNAcentral lists this unclassified non-coding RNA (413 nucleotides) under soil metagenome. Its description in RNAcentral is "partial contains 5.8S ribosomal RNA, internal transcribed spacer 2, and large subunit ribosomal RNA". The stretch from base 1 to 121 matches the Rfam family "5.8S ribosomal RNA", at positions 35 to 154 of the family's 154-position model. The record is from RNAcentral.
GAUGAAGAACGUAGCGAAAUGCGAUAAGUAGUGUGAAUUGCAGAAGUACCGUGAAUCAUCGAAUCUUUGAACGCAAAUUGCACUCUCUGGUAUUCCGGGGAGUAUGCCUGUUUGAGGGUCGCUUAACAAACCAUCGAUUUCGUUGCUUUUUUUUUUUUAAAAAAGUGAUGUUUAUCGGAUUUGAGCCGUCUUUUUUUUUAUAUUUAAGUGGCUUAAAAUUGAUUUUUUUGGUACGAUCGAAGCGUAUUUUUAUGAUCAAUUUUUGGUUAAAGAAACGCACACGUACCGUUAUUUAUAUGAUGUAAUACGUUUGACUAUUGGAUUUAGUUCAUUCGUAUACGAUAUUUUUCAAUAUUUGACCUCAAAUCAGGUAAGAACACCCGCUGAACUUAAGCAUAUCAAUAAGCGGAGGA